This 796-nucleotide ribosomal RNA is filed under the name uncultured bacterium. Its description in RNAcentral is "bacterial SSU rRNA". It matches the Rfam family "Bacterial small subunit ribosomal RNA", at positions 8 to 796 of the family's 1533-position model. The record is from RNAcentral.
AGAGUUUGAUCCUGGCUCAGAACAAACGCUGGCGGCGUGUCUUAAGCAUGCAAGUCGAGCGGCAAGGGCAGCAAUGCCCCUAGAGCGGCGGACUGGUGAGUAACGCGUGGGUGAUCUACCUUGGGCAUGGGGAUAGCCAUUAGAAAUAGUGGGUAAUACCGAAUACGUUCGUUACCGUGAGGGUAACGAGGAAAGGCGCUACGGCGCCGGCCUGAAGAUGAGCUUGCGUCCSAUUAGCUAGUUGGUGAGGUAAMGGCCCACCAAGGCGAUGAUSGGUAGCCGGCCUGAGAGGGUGUACGGCCACACUGGGACUGAGAUACGGCCCAGACUCCUACGGGAGGCAGCAGCUAAGAAUAUUCCGCAAUGGACGAAAGUCUGACGGAGCGACGCCGCGUGGAUGAWGAAGGCCGAAAGGUUGUAAAGUCCUUUUGCUGGGGAAGAAUAAGCGUGGGAGGGAAUGCCCGCGUGAUGACAUGAACCGGCGAAUAAGCCCCGGCUAACUACGUGCCAGCAGCCGCGGUAACACGUAGGGGGCGAGCGUUGUUCGGAAUUACUGGGCGUAAAGGGCAUGUAGGCGGCYUUGUAAGCYUGGCGUGAAAUUCCACGGCUUAACCGUGGGAAUGCGUUGRGAACUGCRAGGCUUGAGUGACGGAGAGGGAGCUAGAAUUCCUGGUGUAGGGGUGGAAUCUGUAGAGAUCAGGAAGAAUACCAAUGGCGAAGGCAAGCUCCUGGCCGAUGACUGACGCUGAGGUGCGAAAGUGUGGGGAUCAAACAGGAUUAGAUACCCUGGUAGUCC